UGCCAGCAGCCGCGGUAAUACGGAGGGUGCAAGCGUUAUUCGGAAUUAUUGGGCGUAAAGGGUCCGUAGACUGUAUAGUAAGUUGUUUGUUAAAAUUUAAAGCUAAACUUUAAAAAAGCGAAUAAUACUAUUAUACUAGAGUUUAAAACAGAAAAGUAGAAUUUCAUGUUUAGGAGUAAUUACCUUAGACACAUGAAGGAACAUCAAUAGCGAAAGCAACUUUUUGGUAAAAACUGACGUUGAGGGACGAAAGUGUAGGUAGCAAACAGGAUUAGAUA
RNAcentral lists this ribosomal RNA (278 nucleotides) under uncultured bacterium. Its description in RNAcentral is "partial 16S ribosomal RNA". It matches the Rfam family "Bacterial small subunit ribosomal RNA", at positions 506 to 784 of the family's 1533-position model. The record is from RNAcentral.